This 294-nucleotide long non-coding RNA is filed under the name Microcebus murinus (gray mouse lemur). RNAcentral's name for it is "lncRNA (ENSMICG00000048789.1)". The record is from RNAcentral. Lineage: Eukaryota; Metazoa; Chordata; Mammalia; Primates; Cheirogaleidae.
GUCUGUCUCUGAGGCGGGUGAGAUGCCAGCUGUCCAGGUGCACGUGUGCUGGUCAAAAACACAGGCUGGGUAGAGACCCGCUUCCUGGCAAGGUGGGGAUCCUGUCCGACAGGAUAUAUUGUGCCGAGGCUUUGUGGACUCCAGGACCGCCCCCCGCCAUUGCUGCGACGCAGUGACCUGGGGGCGGCGCCCACCUCCAAGGGCCGGGAUCUCGAGCCGGAUGGAGCCCUCUGUCACUUCUGCUCAGGUUUUCCAGGGUCCCGCAGCUGCAGCUGACUAGCCACCCGCGCCUCC